AAAGCUACAGAGCAUGUCUGGGAUGAAAAGAGUUCUGGAGAUUCGUUGCACAACAACGUGAGCGUACUUAACACCACUGAACUGCACGCUUAAAAACGGUUAACAUGAGAACAAACAGCUACACCUGUGACUCAGCCCUAAACUCCUCUUACGGGAGACGCUCCGGACACAGAAAAGGGCUGUGGUGCCGCCGCUUCAGCCUCACGGCCAUCACGGUGGCUAGAUUGGAGGAUUAAUGUCAGUUAUGCACGGAGAGGGCGAAAAUGAGCCUCAGCAGGGAGACCUGGGGAACACAGAGCCACGCCUACUGUCCAGCCUGCAGGUGAACUGGACCUCCUGGAUCAACCUCAGCAAAGGGACAGGACGUGAAGCCCCCAGCUUACCUCUGAACCUCUCCGUCUCCUCUGAGCCCAAACUACUGCUCCACAGAGUGAGCUCAAAGGGCUCACUUCCAACUUUCCUCGGUUGGAGGCAAAUGCAAUAAAAAUGUGCAGUCUGUGCCCCUCUCCACACCCACUUACACCCUUUGACAGCUGCACUCACCAGAUUCCAGUGCAAAUACUGCCUCCUCCCACCACCCGCUCGGCAAAAAAGAAAACCCUUUAAAGUCAUACCCUCAGAGCAAACAAAAGAUUUGCUAUUUGUUUGGGGUUUUGUUUUCUUUUUUAAAUCCAUGUUCCUGU
RNAcentral lists this long non-coding RNA (683 nucleotides) under Equus caballus (horse). RNAcentral's name for it is "lncRNA (ENSECAG00000053258.1)". The record is from RNAcentral. Lineage: Eukaryota; Metazoa; Chordata; Mammalia; Perissodactyla; Equidae.